GCUAGUAACCAAGUAGGGAAUCACAUUUCGGCUGUGAUUGCGAAGCUAGAGCUUCUGCUAGUG
RNAcentral lists this transfer RNA (63 nucleotides) under Cichlidogyrus halli. Its description in RNAcentral is "tRNA-Arg". The record is from RNAcentral. Lineage: Eukaryota; Metazoa; Platyhelminthes; Monogenea; Dactylogyridea; Ancyrocephalidae.